Molecule: long non-coding RNA, 3582 nt
Filed under: Manihot esculenta (cassava)
Lineage: Eukaryota; Viridiplantae; Streptophyta; Magnoliopsida; Malpighiales; Euphorbiaceae
Description: long non-coding RNA (MESC_LNC007567)
Source: RNAcentral
GGGCAUAGGUUGUAACAUGGGUGAUAGAAUUGACAGUUUUUGCGAUAGAAGCUGUUAUACCGAAUUCUGGCACCGGUUGUAACAUGGGUGACAGACUUGGCAGUCAUUGUGAUAGAAGCCGUUAUGCUGCAAUCGGGCACCGACUGUAACAUAUGUGGUAGACUUGUCAGUUUUUGUGGGGAAGCUGUUACGCCAAAAUCUGGUACCGGUUGUAACAUGGGUUAUAGACUUGACAGAUACUGCGACGGAAGCUGUUAUGCUAAAAUUGGGCACCGGCUGUAACAUGAGUGAUAGACUUGGCAGUUUUUGCAAUGAAACUGGUUUUGUCGAUAUCAGGCAUCGGGGGUAGCAUGGCUGAUAGACUUAGUAGUUUUUGGGAUGGAAGUUGUUAUACCGAAAUCGGGUACCGGUUGUAUCAUGGGUGAUAGACUUGACAGUUUUUGCGAUAGAUGCUGUUAUGCUGAAAUCGGGCACCGGUUGUAACAUAGGUCAUGAACUUGGCAGUUUUUGGGAUGAAAGCUGUUAUGCCGAAAUCGGGCAGCAGUUGUAACAUGGGUGAUAGACUUGGCAGUUUUUGCGAACGAAGGUGUUAUGCCCAAAUCGGGCACCGGUUGUAACAUGGCUAAUAGAUUUGAGAGAUUUUAUGAAGAAAACUGUUACGCCGAAAUCGGGCACCGAUUGAAACAUGCGUAUUGACUUGGCAGUUUUUGCGAUAGAAGCUGUUAUGCCGAAAUCGAGCACCUGUUGUAACAUGGGUGAUGGACUUGGCAGAUUUUGGCAAGGAAGUUGUUAUGCUAAAAUCGGACACAGGUUGCAACAUGGGUGAUAGACUUGGCACAUUUUGCGAUGAAAGUUGUUAUGUCGAAAUCGGGCACCGAUUGUAACAUGAGCGAUAGACUUAGGGGUUUUUGGGACAGAAGCUGUUAUGCCGAAUUCCGGCACAGGUUGUAACAUGGGUGAUAGACUUGGUUGUUUUUGCGAUAGAAGCUAUUAUGCCAAAGUCGGGCACCGGUUGUAACAUGGGUAAUAGGCUUGGCAGAUUUUGCGACGAAAGCUGUUAUGCCAAAAUCGGGCACCGGCUAUUACAUGAGUGAUAGACAUGGCAGAUUUUGGCAGGGACAUUGUUAUGCUGAAAUCGAGCACCGGUUGUAACCUGGGUGAUAGACUUGGCAGAUUUUUCGAUGAAAGUUGUUAUGACGAAAUCGGACACCGAUUGUAACAUGAGUGAUAGACUUAGGGGUUUUUGGGACAGAAGCUGUUAUACCGAAUUCCGGCACCGGUUGUAACAUGGGUGAUAGACUAGCAAGGAAGCUGUUAUACUAAAAUCGGGCACAGGUUGUAACAUGGGUGAUAGACUUGGCAGAUUUUGCGACGAAACCUGUUAUGCGGAAAUCGGGCACCGAUUGUAACAUGAGUGACAGACUUAAGGAUUUUUGGGAUGGAAGCUGUUAUGCCGAAUUUCGGCACCGGUUGUAACAUGGGUGAUAAACUUGGCAAUUUUUGCAAUAGAAGCUGUUAUGCCAAAGUCGGGCACAGGUUGUAACAUGAGUAAUAAUCUUGGCAGAUUUUGCGACAGAAGUUGUUAUGCCGAAAUCGGGCACCGGCUAUAACAUGGGUGAUAGACUUGGCAGUUUUUGCGAAGGAAGGUGUUAUGCCGAAAUCGGGUACCAGUUGUGACAUGGGUGAUGGAUUUGGCAGAUUUUGGCAGGGACGUUGUUAUGCUGAAAUCGAGCACCGGUUGUAACCUGGGUGAUAGACUUGGCAGAUUUUUCGACGAAAGCUGUUAUGCCGAAAUCGGGCACCGAUUGUAAUAUGAGUCGACUUAGGGGUUUUUGGGACAGAAGUUGUUAUACCGAAUUCCGGCACAGGUUGUAACAUAAGUGAUAGACUGACAAGGAAGCUGUUAUGCUAAAAUCGGACACAGGUUGUAACAUGGGUGAUAGACUUGGCAGAUUUUGCGACGAAAGUUGUUAUGCCGAUAUCGGGCACCGAUUGUAACAUGAGUGACAGACUUAAGGGUUUUUGGGACGGAAGCCGUUAUGUCAAAUUUUGGCACCGGUUGUAACAUGGGUGAUAAUCUUGGCAGAUUUUGCGACAGAAGCUGUUAUGCCGAAAUCGGGCACCGGCUAUAACAUGGGUGAUAGACUUGACAGUUUUUGCAAAGGAAGGUGUUAUGCCGAAAUCGGACACCAGAUAUGACAUGGGUGAUGGACUUGGCAGAUUUUGGCAGGGACGUUGUUAGGCUGAAAUCGAGCACCGGUUGUAACCUGGGUGAUAGACUUGGCAGAUUUUUCGACGAAAACUGUUAUGCCGAAAUCGGGCACCGAUUGUAACAUGAGUGAUAGACUUAGGGGUUUUUGGGACAGAAGUUGUUAUACCGAAUUCCGGCACCGGUUGUAACAUGGGUGAUAGACGGGCAAGGAAGCUGUUAUGCUAAAAUCGGACACAGGUUGUAACAUGGGUGAUAGACUUGGCAGAUUUUGCGACGAAAGUUGUUAUGCCGAAAUCGGGCACCAAUUGUAACAUGAGUGACAGACUUAAGGGUUUUUGGGACGAAAGCUGUUAUGCCGAAUUUCGGCACCGGUUGUAACAUGGGUGAUAAACUUGGCAGUUUUUGCGAUAGAAGCUGUUAUGCCAAAGUCGGGCACCGAUUGUAACAUGAGUAAUAAUCUUGGCAGAUUUUGCGACAGAAGCUGUUAUGCCGAAAUCGGGCACCGGCUAUAACAUGGGUGAUAGACUUGGCAGUUUUUGCGAAGGAAGGUGUUAUGCCGAAAUCGGGCACCAGUUGUGACAUGGGUGAUGGACUUGGCAGAUUUUGGCAGGGACGUUGUUAUGCUGAAAUCGAGCACCGGUUGUAACCUGGGUGAUAGACUUGACAGAUUUUUCGACAAAAGCUGUUAUGCCGAAAUCGGGCACCGAUUCUAACAUGAGUGAUAGACUUAGGGGUUUUUGGGACAGAAGCUGUUAUACCGAAUUCUGGCACCGAUUGUAACAUGGUUGAUAGACUUGGCAGUUUUUGCGAUAGAAGCAGUUAUGCCGAAAUCGGGCACCGAUUGUAACAUGGGUGAUAGGCUUGGCAGAUUUUGUGACAGAAGCUGUUAUGCCGAAAUUGGGCACCGGCUGUAACAUGGGUGAUAGAAUUGGCAGUUUUUGUGACGGAAUAGGUUUUGCCGAUAUCGGGCAUCGGGGGUAGCAUGUGUGAUAGACUUGGCAGUUUUUGGGAUGGAAGCUGUUAUGCCGAAAUCGGGUACCGGUUGUAACAUGGGUGAUAGACUUGACAGUUUUUGCGAUAGAAGCUGUUAUGCCGAAAUCGAGCACCAGUUGUAACAUAGGUCAUAAACUUGGUCAUUUUUGGGAUGAUAGCUGUUAUGCCGAAAUCGGGCAGCGGUUGUAACAUAGGUGAUAGACUUGGCAGUUUUUGCAAAGGAAGGUGUUAUGCUGAAAUCGGGCACCAGUUGUAACAUGGAUGUUGGACUUGGCAGAUUUUGGCAGGGACGUUGUUGUGCUGAAGUCGAGCACCGGUUAUAACAUGAGUGAUAAAUUUGGCAGAUUUUGCAACGAAACUUGUUAUGCCGAAAUCGG